GUUAGGAAUAUUGGACAAUGGGCGCAAGCCUGAUCCAGCCAUGCCGCGUGAACGAUGAAGGCCUUCGGGUUGUAAAGUUCUUUAGCCGAUGAUUAUAAUGACUGUAGUCGGAAAAUAAGCCCCGGCUAACUUCGUGCCAGCAGCCGCGGUAAUACGAAGGGGGCGAGCGUUAUUCGGAAUCACUGGGCGUAAAGCGUGCGUAGGCGGUCUCGUAAGUUAGGAGUGAAAGCCCAGGGCUCAACCUUGGAAUUGCUCUUAAAACUGCAAGGCUAGAAUCUCGGAGAGGAUAGCGGAAUUUCCAGUGUAGCAGUGAAAUGCGUAGAUAUUGGAAGGAACACCAGUGGCGUAAGCGGCUAUCUGGACGAGUAUUGACGCUGAGGCACGAAAGCGUGGGGAUCAAACAGGAUUAGAAACCCCUGGAGUCC
Molecule: ribosomal RNA, 425 nt
Filed under: uncultured bacterium
Lineage: Bacteria
Description: partial 16S ribosomal RNA
Rfam family: Bacterial small subunit ribosomal RNA
Source: RNAcentral